Molecule: ribosomal RNA, 702 nt
Filed under: uncultured Methanogenium sp.
Lineage: Archaea; Methanobacteriati; Methanobacteriota; Methanomicrobia; Methanomicrobiales; Methanomicrobiaceae
Description: bacterial SSU rRNA
Rfam family: Archaeal small subunit ribosomal RNA
Source: RNAcentral
CGGUUGAUCCUGCCGGAGGUCACUGCUAUCGGGGUUCGAUUAAGCCAUGCGAGUUGAGAGGGUUUAGACCCUCAGCGGACUGCUCAGUAACACGUGGGUAACCUGCCCUAAGGUGGAGAAUAACCCCGGGAAACUGGGGAUAAUACUCCAUAGAUUAGAGAUACUGGAAUGUUCUUUAAUCGAAAGUUGAGGCGCCUUAGGAUGGAUCUGCGGUCGAUUAGGUUGUUGUUGGGGUAACGGCCCAACAAGCCUGUAAUCGAUACGGGUUGUGGGAGCAAGAGCCCGGAGAUGGAAUCUGAGACACGAUUCCAGGCCCUACGGGGCGCAGCAGGCGCGAAAACUUUACAAUGCAGGAAACUGUGAUAAGGGAACCCCGAGUGCCCGUAUACGCGGGCUGUCCAGGUGUUUAAAACGCAUCUGAAGAAAGGGCCGGGCAAGACCGGUGCCAGCCGCCGCGGUAAUACCGGCGGCUCGAGUGGUGGCCACUAUUAUUGGGCUUAAAGCGUCCGUAGCUGGACCCUUAAGUCUCUUGGGAAAUCCGCCGGCUUAACCGACGGGCGUCUAAGAGAUACUGGGGGUCUAGGGACCGGGGGANGUGAGAGGUACUCCGGGGGUAGGANUGAAAUCCUGUAAUCCCCCGGGGGANCACCGAUGGCGAANGCNUCUCACCANAACGGCUCCNNCNGUGAGGGANGAAANGCU